GCCACUACCCCCCUCUCCCCCUCGCUCUCCUCCUCGAUCUGGAGAGGCACCCAACCCGGUCGUCGCCGUCGCCGCAUCGAUCCCGCGGCCACCGACCGCCUCUCAUCUCACCGGUGUGUCCAGGAGCUCCGUCGCGCCGCGCUCGUCCUCGUCAACUACUCCAUUCGCACCUGGAGGCCCCAAGAAGAUGCCACGAUCAACUUCCUCACCGUCACAGCCGCCGCACCUCGCCGUCGAUCCGCUACUCCGGGCCAUCCCCAACCCCUCUCGAGUUCGCCUGCGCCCUUCCCGGUGAGCACCGCGUCGAUUUCCGCCUGAUCCCUUCGAGUCCAUCACAUUAGAUGCCCCCUGAACGUAGCCGCCGUGGCUGCGCUCAAGCCCCGGCCACCCCGUGCGCGCCCUGGACUCCCCUGCCGGCACCCGUCCGCGCGCCCGGCUCGCCCGCCUGCUGUCGCAACUGCUGCUACCCUGCGCUGCCGCGGCCGCACGCUGCUUGCGGCACUGCCGCUGCUGCUGUUGCUGGCUCGCUACGCCAGCCCACGUGCGCGCGCGUCGAACCCCCGCUCGCCUUCUGUUGAAGCUGCCUUGGCGUGCCUGCUGCUGUUGAUUACUGCACUGCUGCUCUUGCUUUCUACUGCUGCUCUUCCAUUGUUGCUGCUAGCUACGCUUGCGCCGCUGCUCCUAUACUGCGGCUACACCGUUGCUUGCUACUACUGCUAAUGGCCGUGAAUUUGCGCCUAUGCGAGUUGCCAUGGCAACACAGCCGUGGCUCGAUGUGUGGCCGGCCAUGCACUAAUUUGUAGUACUACUAGGAAAAUGGCCCGUGCGUUGCAACGGGAAUACAAUCGUCCCUUGCUUGAUACCUUUUUUUUCUUUACCAGGGAUCCAUCCUAGCCCCACAAUGAAGCCUGACUGUUCCCGAAAAAAAAAGCCUGACUGUCACCACGAUGAUAGGGCAUGACAGUCUGUCUCGAGAAGGUCGUCGGAAUCGGAUAGACCUAAUGCGACCAUGGCCUCCUACUACACAUCUGCCCAACAUCCUUGCCAAGGCCCAUAUGCAUGAGCAUUUGAUCUAGGGCAUCCUCCCUUGUUGUGUUAGUCGAGGCCGGCGGCCGGCCAAUGGCACCGGGCAUCCUCCCUUGUUGUGUUAGUCGAGGCCGGCGGCCGGCCAAUGGCACCGUCAUUGCGUUUGCGUUGCUAUAGAAAAAAAAUGUGUCUAAUUUUUUAUCUUGCGGACUAUAUCUAAAGGGGAGAUUCAAAAGAGAACGAUGUGGCUCACGUACCCAGGUCAUUGUAUCUGAAGUUUCUAUUUAUUCAGGAUGGCGCAGGAACACAUUCAAUAACGAAAGUAUAAUCUAAUUAGUAGCAAGGCACUCGGUAUCAUCAGUUUGUGUUUUUCUCCAAGUAGCAUAGAAACACAUCCCAUAACUAUAAUAUAAUACAUGACGGAGGGAGUAUGUUGUAAUCAAUAGCAAGGCAAUUAGUUUGGUUACUAUCAAUUCUCUAUGUUGUUCUUACCUUAUACAGCAUGACCUUUUUUCAGAAAAUGAUACUUGGGAAAUCUCAUAAAGCUUCUAGAUUGCAGCCAUUGAACCAAUCAACCGAAGGGCUUAUGUAAGUUAUUACUGUAAAAUAAGUCUCAGUCCUGAGAAGAAUUCACUUUGAACACAUUUCUCUGAGACGGAUAGAACAAUCCUUGACAACCUAUGCGAGUAAGGAAAAAAUACUGUACUGAAAAGACCACUCAUGCUCCUUCCUCUCACAUUAACUUCAGGCCUCUAACAAUCACCGAUCUUUGACUAAUCAUUCUGAAGUAAUACAGGUUUAACUUAAAACAUGAAGAGCAAUGGUGUUGUCGCUGCUGAACAUGACAUCUCCCGCUGUUUUGUGUUUUUCCAGUCUACUUGUGCC
Molecule: long non-coding RNA, 1911 nt
Filed under: Triticum aestivum (bread wheat)
Lineage: Eukaryota; Viridiplantae; Streptophyta; Magnoliopsida; Poales; Poaceae
Description: long non-coding RNA (TAES_LNC005416)
Source: RNAcentral